Molecule: ribosomal RNA, 312 nt
Filed under: Triticum aestivum (bread wheat)
Lineage: Eukaryota; Viridiplantae; Streptophyta; Magnoliopsida; Poales; Poaceae
Description: partial small subunit ribosomal RNA
Source: RNAcentral
AUGAGUACUGAUGCAACGGAAGAGAUUGCCAAGGCUAAAAGAGAAGGUCAGAGAGUCAUCGGGGAACCUGUGGUAUCUGGGUUAGUCCUUGAUGAUUAUUGGCUUUGGGAUCCUGACUUUGCAACUGCUUCAAAGUAUGUGAUGAGUCCUCCAAUCCGGGAAGCAGGGCAUAAUAAAGCACUUCAAGCUGCUCUUUCAUCAGGAAUAUUACAGCUUGUGGGAACUGAUCAUUGCACCUUCAAUUCCACUCAGAAAGCUUUCGGUUCUGAUGAUUUCAGGAAGAUUCCCAAUGGCGUAAAUGGUAAGCCAUAG